UUAGAGCUGGGCGCAGCCUGAUCAGCCAUGCCGCGUGAGUGAUGAAGGCCUUAGGGUUGUAAAGCUCUUUCACCGGAGAAGAUAAUGACGGUAUCCGGAGAAGAAGCCCCGGCUAACUUCGUGCCAGCAGCCGCGGUAAUCAAAAGGGGGC
RNAcentral lists this ribosomal RNA (151 nucleotides) under uncultured Rhizobium sp. RNAcentral describes it as "partial 16S ribosomal RNA". It matches the Rfam family "Bacterial small subunit ribosomal RNA", at positions 363 to 535 of the family's 1533-position model. The record is from RNAcentral. Lineage: Bacteria; Pseudomonadati; Pseudomonadota; Alphaproteobacteria; Hyphomicrobiales; Rhizobiaceae.